Ribosomal RNA from Gorilla gorilla gorilla (western lowland gorilla), 110 nucleotides. Lineage: Eukaryota; Metazoa; Chordata; Mammalia; Primates; Hominidae. The record is from Ensembl.
ACCUACAGCCGUACCGCCCUAAACAUGCCUGGUGUCAUCUGAUCUUGGAAACUAAGUAGGGUCGUGCCUGGUUAGUACUUGGAUGGGAGGAUGUUAAACCACUGAAAAUU